This is a long non-coding RNA of Diprion similis, 299 nucleotides long. RefSeq lists it as uncharacterized. The transcript is spliced from 3 exons. Lineage: Eukaryota; Metazoa; Arthropoda; Insecta; Hymenoptera; Diprionidae. The record is from RefSeq and is a predicted model, not a curated record.
AUGAACGAGGUAUUCAGACACACAGUGAAAUGUGCUUGUUCAAAGAAGUGCGUAGUUUUGUGAUAGUGUGAGAAAACCAGCUGUUUGUGGGACGUUACACGUGAUAUUGGUUGACAAGGAAAAAGAUUAGCCAAGUACGAAGAUCAGCUGAGAUUACAUCAGACGAUACGUGCACGCUGUCGAGGACUUUUCGUUUCAAUUGAUCAACAUCGGGAAUGAUACCACUCCUUACAGCAGUUAUCAUCGAGUCCGUCCCAAAUGCAUGCGACAUACCGAAGAUCUUGACACCAAUUCGUGAG